RNAcentral lists this unclassified non-coding RNA (349 nucleotides) under soil metagenome. RNAcentral's name for it is "partial contains 5.8S ribosomal RNA, internal transcribed spacer 2, and large subunit ribosomal RNA". The stretch from base 1 to 120 matches the Rfam family "5.8S ribosomal RNA", at positions 35 to 154 of the family's 154-position model. The record is from RNAcentral.
GAUGAAGAACGUAGCGAAAUGCGAUACGUAAUGUGAAUUGCAGAAUUCAGUGAAUCAUCGAGUCUUUGAACGCACAUUGUGCCCCCUGGUAUUCCGGGGGGCAUGCCUGUCCGAGCGUCAUUGCUGCCCUCAAGCACGGCUUGUGUGUUGGGCCUCCGCCCCCCGGCUCCCGGGGGGCGGGCCCGAAAGGCAGCGGCGGCACCGCGUCCGGUCCUCGAGCGUAUGGGGCUUCGUCACCCGCUCCGUAGGCCCGGCCGGCGCCCGCCGGCGACCCCCCUCAAUCUUUCCAGGUUGACCUCGGAUCAGGUAGGGAUACCCGCUGAACUUAAGCAUAUCAAUAAGCGGAGGA